GCAGGUGAUCAGUGAGGAUGUUCUCAGCACACCAUCGACGACUGACUCUCUGCUCUUCCUGCAUCUUGCUUCUCAUCCCCUGCAGCUGGAUGCCCGCAGUAGCGAAGUGGCCUCGGAGGCUGGGGAYGAUGGUCCCGAAUGUGGCGUCUCGGAGUUGCGUAUUUGGCAGGGAUGAUAAGCCUUGCUGCAAAACCAAGCAGAGCGAAGCCGCCGCUGCCUCCCCCCUUGCAUACUCACAGAGCUCUGAAACUGUCGCUGCCAGCAGCACGGCUCAGGAAGCGCUUGAUGUUCUCYUUGCUGGCACUGAGCAGGAGCAGCGCGAGUCUGGCAAACAGGAGCGUCCAGUGGGCAGGGCUGAAGGCUGGAAGUUCUGCCUCCAGGUCUCCCAUAAACUGGAAGAGCACCUGCUUCCUCGCCUCCUUGUCCUGGAGGUUGGUGAGUGCCAGCUGCAGGAGAAGGGAAAUGAGGAGCYGUGAGCAGACAGGAUUCAGAAGGUCGUGCCAGUGCAAGGCCAGAGGGAGUGGCAUUGCCAGCAGUGCCUCUGGGUGAGUGCCAGAGAGGGGAAGACACAUCUUGGCUGUGUCCUGCGAGCCUGCCCGAUGGGCAGCCGAGACCGCAGGGUAGGCCGGAGAGCGUCGGCAGGCGUCCCUGCACGGCGCAGGCUCCCCGCUGCAGUGCUCGCCGAGGGCGCUGCAGGCCGUGUGGUCGCUGGCCCCUUGUGACAACACAAGCGCGGGCAGGCCCGGGUGUCGGKUGGGAAAGGGCAAGUGGCCGUGGGGAUCAGCCUGCUGCCCGGGGCCCCGAGCACGAGGUUUAGUAGCUGUGCUUGGUAGGAGCUCAGCGUUGCCACGAGUGUGUGCUUCCGUACGGCCCAGGCGUUAGGUCUCRGGCCCCGAGCUAAGCAAAAUGCACCUUUCAUUUGAGUGAGACCCAUGCGUUSUUCUUUAAACUCACCUCAAACUCCCAGCAUCAACCAGAGCAGACUUACUGGUCCUGUUCCAAAAAGCAAAUGUGUCAUAUUGUACAUGGAGACUUUCCACAAGGGACUGUGAWUCCCAAGUCAGAGGCUUUUGGCUCGGGCCCUAGGGGACACUGACCAUGCACACCACACAUUGCAGCACAUGGUGUUUCCAAAUGGUACUCACUUAAAUGCAACAGUUAAAUGGUAGAAAUGUCCAAGUCCCACAUCAUAAUCCUGCUUCCUAAUACCCCAAGAGCCCACUGAAUUAACAUAGAGUAUUUGAUAAAGCUGAACUAAAAAAGAACGGGGCACUUUGAAAAUAUUCUAGAAAACUCUGUUAUGUUGUUAUGUGGUGAUAGGCCAUUACACAUACAAGUCUAUCAGGAGAGGGUGAGAGUUUUUUUGUUUGUUUGUUUGUUUGUUUUGUUUUGUUUUUUUUUUUUUGCAUUGUGGGAGAUUACUACAGAAGCAUUUGGUUUUCGGCAUUUGGUAAAGUGGCUUCUGCGUUGCAGAAU
RNAcentral lists this long non-coding RNA (1476 nucleotides) under Dromaius novaehollandiae (emu). RNAcentral describes it as "lncRNA (ENSDNVG00000013402.1)". Lineage: Eukaryota; Metazoa; Chordata; Aves; Casuariiformes; Dromaiidae. The record is from RNAcentral.